Molecule: ribosomal RNA, 255 nt
Filed under: uncultured bacterium
Lineage: Bacteria
Description: partial 16S ribosomal RNA
Rfam family: Bacterial small subunit ribosomal RNA
Source: RNAcentral
UACAUGGGGUGCAAACGUUGCUCGGAAUUAUUGGGCGUAAAGCGCACGUAGGCGGUUCGUUAAGUCGGAUGUGAAAGCCCUCGGCUCAACUGAGGAAGUGCACCCGAAACUGGCGAGCUUGAGUACGAAAGAGGAUCGCGGAAUUCCCGGUGUAGAGGUGAAAUUCGUAGAUAUCGGGAGGAACACCUGUGGCGAAGGCGCCUUGCUGGCCGAUUUCUGACGCUGAGGCGCGAAAAGCGUGGGGGAGCAAACAGG